AUUGAACGCUGGCGGCAUGCUUUACACAUGCCAGUCGAACGGUAACAGGCCUUCGGGUGCUGACGAGUGGCGAACGGGUGAGUAAUGCAUCGGAACGUACCCAGAGGUGGGGGAUAACGCAGCGAAAGCUGUGCUAAUACCGCAUGUGAUCUGAGGAUGAAAGCGGGGGACCGAGCAGCAAUGUUUGGCCUCGCGCCUUUGGAGCGGCCGAUGUCGGAUUAGCUAGUUGGUGGGGUAAAGGCCUACCAAGGCGACGAUCCGUAGCUGGUCUGAGAGGACGACCAGCCACACUGGGAGUGAGACACGCCCCAGACUCCUACGGGAGGCAGCAGUGGGGAAUUUUGGACAAUGGGCGCAAGCCUGAUCCAGCAAUGCCGCGUGCGGGAAGAAGGCCUUCGGGUUGUAAACCGCUUUUGGCAGGAACGAAACGGUGUCCGCUAAUACCGGGCGCUAAUGACGGUACCUGCAGAAUAAGCACCGGCUAACUACGUG
RNAcentral lists this ribosomal RNA (492 nucleotides) under uncultured bacterium. RNAcentral's name for it is "partial 16S ribosomal RNA". It matches the Rfam family "Bacterial small subunit ribosomal RNA", at positions 29 to 507 of the family's 1533-position model. The record is from RNAcentral.